UGCCUGUGUAACAUGGGAUUCCGGCUGAACUUCUCUCUCAUUUACAAAAUGCCACGGUUGACAGGAAAAGAAGCUUCCAGGACGUGGAUCUGUUUCCUGAGUUUAGCACACUGGCAACUCCCAUUCUGUAACAUAAUCCUAGCAGCAGCAAGAUAAACAGUUUGCAGAUCAAACAGUCUGAUGUUGACGUGCCAGGAGUGUCGAGUGCAUCACUGAUGACCUAAGGUUUGGCAGGACCAGGAAAAGAAGUGGAAGAGAAGAUACAAGAGGCAUAAUUAUUUCUAGGACCGGCUUUGUUAGAGUAAAACUCACCAGCAAGGCGAAUAAGCAAAA
RNAcentral lists this long non-coding RNA (333 nucleotides) under Rattus norvegicus (Norway rat). Its description in RNAcentral is "long non-coding RNA NONRATT017342". Lineage: Eukaryota; Metazoa; Chordata; Mammalia; Rodentia; Muridae. The record is from RNAcentral.